Molecule: ribosomal RNA, 468 nt
Filed under: uncultured bacterium
Lineage: Bacteria
Description: bacterial SSU rRNA
Rfam family: Bacterial small subunit ribosomal RNA
Source: RNAcentral
AUGAACGCUAGCGGCAGGCCUAAUACAUGCAAGUCGAACGGGGUCCUUCGGGGCCCAGUGGCGCACGGGUGCGUAACGCGUAGCCAACCUGCCCCGCUCAGGGGGAUAGCCCGCCGAAAGGCGGAUUAAUCCCGCAUGCCCCGCGGGCCCGGCAUCGGGCCGGCGGGAAAGAACUUCGGAGCGGGAUGGGGCUGCGUGCCAUUAGCUGGUUGGCGGGGUAAGGGCCCACCAAGGCGACGAUGGCUAGGGGAGCUGAGAGGCCGGUCCCCCACACUGGCACUGAGACACGGGCCAGACUCCUACGGGAGGCAGCAGUAGGGAAUAUUGGGCAAUGGGCGCGAGCCUGACCCAGCCAUGCCGCGUGCCGGACGACGGCCUUCUGGGUUGUAAACGGCUUUUCCCGGGGAAGAAAAAGGCCCUGCGGGGCCCCCUGACGGUACCCGGGGAAGAAGCACCGGCUAACUCCGU